UAUUUUGUUUUGUUUAACAUGCGUAAGGGGCUGUGCUCAUUGAUGAAGGCCGUAUGGUGAUCUAUAGUUGUUAAUAUCCGUGUCAUUUUUGGUCUUUUGUGGAUAGUUGUCUCAUUGGCAAUCAUACUAGAUCUUCUUUUUAAUAUUGUUACAAAUAUUAAAAAAAAAUUAGAAAAAAACGACGGAGCCUGCAAAGGGGUAGUUGUAAGUAUUAUUUCUCGGUUUGUCG
RNAcentral lists this long non-coding RNA (229 nucleotides) under Mytilus galloprovincialis (Mediterranean mussel). Lineage: Eukaryota; Metazoa; Mollusca; Bivalvia; Mytilida; Mytilidae. The record is from RNAcentral.